UACAGAGGCCUCAAGCGUUGUUCGGAUUCAUUGGGCGUAAAGGGUGCGCAGGCGGUCGGGUAAGUCGGAUGUGAAAUCCCGGGGCUCAACCUCGGAACUGCAUUCGAUACUGCCUGGCUGGAGGAUUGGAGAGGAGAGUGGAAUUCACGGUGUAGCAGUGAAAUGCGUAGAGAUCGUGAGGAAGACCAACGGCGAAGGCAGCUCUCUGGACAAUUCCUGACGCUGAGGCACGAAGGCCAGGGGAGCAAACGGG
This 253-nucleotide ribosomal RNA is filed under the name uncultured bacterium. RNAcentral's name for it is "partial 16S ribosomal RNA". It matches the Rfam family "Bacterial small subunit ribosomal RNA", at positions 524 to 776 of the family's 1533-position model. The record is from RNAcentral.